Molecule: ribosomal RNA, 506 nt
Filed under: uncultured bacterium
Lineage: Bacteria
Description: partial 16S ribosomal RNA
Rfam family: Bacterial small subunit ribosomal RNA
Source: RNAcentral
AGUGAACGCCGGCGGUAGGCCUAACACAUGCAAGUCGAACGGCAGCACAGGAGAGCUUGCUCUCUGGGUGGCGAGUGGCGGACGGGUGAGGAAUACAUCGGAAUCUACUCUGUCGUGGGGGAUAACGUAGGGAAACUUACGCUAAUACCGCAUACGACCUACGGGUGAAAGCAGGGGAUCCUCGGACCUUGCGCGAUUGAAUGAGCCGAUGUCGGAUUAGCUAGUUGGCGGGGUAAAGGCCCACCAAGGCGACGAUCCGUAGCUGGUCUGAGAGGAGGAUCAGCCACACUGGAACGGAGACACGGUCCAGACUCCUACGGGAGGCAGCAGUGGGGAAUAUUGGACAAUGGGCGCAAGCCUGAUCCAGCCAUACCGCGUGGGUGAAGAAGGCCUUCGGGUUGUAAAGCCCUUUUGUUGGGAAAGAAAUCCAGCUGGCUAAUACCCGGUUGGGAUGACGGUACCCAAAGAAUAAGCACCGGCUAACUUCGUGCCAGCCGCCGCAGUAA